UUACUAUACAGCAGUCCCUAAGGAUUCCCUGCAGAUAUAACGAAAGGAGAAUGCUCUCCCCCUCGCCCCUGCUAAAAGGAACAAUAAAAACAUGCAGCCGGCGCUCAGCUGGCCAUGCCGGGCCCUCCUACGGGCCGAUGUCUGGAAUCUGGAGAAAAGAAAGGUGCCCGGCCAAGAGGAGGCCCGGGCGUGAGUGUCCAGCCUGGGUCCCCAGCCUGCCGGGGAAAGGGCCCACGGGAAAAGGAUGGGGACCAAGGAGGAAAGGCCAUGUGAGGACACAGUGAGAAGGUGGCUGUCUACAAGCCAGGAAGAAAGAUCUUACCAGAAGUCAACCCUGAUGACACCUUGAUCUUGGAUUUCCAGCCUCCAGAACUAUAUAACGUAUACUCUUCUGUAUGUGUGAUGAAGAAAAAAAUUAAGACAAAGUCCCACCUUCUCCAAAGAAACAAAGGAAAGAAACCGAACACGAAAGGAGAGAACUGUCUGCAGCUGGUGUGGGACACAUGGGGAUAGGUGGUGCGACUCACACAGCUUUUCUCUCACUGGAUCCUAACUGAAAGCAUGAUUUUGGUAGUCCAGACACUAAAAUAAUGGAGAUACUCCUAAUGGAAGUUGGGGAGAGAAAUAUAUAUGAAGAGAUAAGCCUUUUCCAAAAUUUACUUUAAGAUCCACAAUUCGCAUUGCUCUCUUAUGUGUCAGGCUAUGAUACAGAGUAGAAAAUAGUUUGUCAGACAGGAUUUUUUUGCCUAGCUUUUCACAACCACUAAUCCUGCUAAUACUAUAGAAACAGCAAGAGUCUUUCUAACAUUUGUAAAUCUAGUUGUGACUUUACUCAACUCCACACCCUUAUUUUUACUAAGAUCUGAUUAAGUUUUUUACAACUGUUUUAUAAAUAGGUAUAAUGCUGUUUCUUAAAGCCAAAGUUGUAUCCUAGACAUAGCAAUCUAUUACACAGCAUUAUUACUAUGAAAUGGGCACAAACUUUUAACUAUACCCCAGGAAUGAAUGUAAAAACAAAACUGAGAAUAAGAGCAAAAACAUACACAUACAGGUUCCACUUGUUUAAAACUAAGAAAUGAUAGCUGAAAACGGCUGUAUACAAAAAUCUCAACAUCACACAUUCUCACUGCCUGGCAAUUAUGAGAACAUGUUCAUCAGUAGAACAGAAGAAACACUAUAGUCUCCUAAUACAAACUUAAGAUGCCAGAUGAUUCAGUUACACAGUAUGAGAAACAUCACAAUUCAAACCUUAUCAAUUAAAGUAAAGUCUAAAUAUAUUUAAGUUUCUAAUUAAGAGUUGAGUAUGUUUUUGUAAUUUGCUUUAAAAAAGCACUUUGAUAAUGAAGCUUUAAUAGCCUAAGAGUCUUAAUACAGGUAAAUAAAUAAAUACCUUAAUGUAAAAUUUAGUGAUAUCUUUUUUGCAUUAAACAACUGGCCUGAGACUUAAAAUGGAAUUCAGAACAACUGCACAACACUGAAAAACUGAAUUAACAAAGUACAUAAUGGUUUUCCUUUAUAAUGACGUAAGGGUAUUAAAAUAAUAAUGAAAAGAAUGGUUCAUUACAUACAACAUUGUAAAAUCAGGAUGUAAUGGGGUAAAUGGCAAGAUAGAGAAAAUCAUGUAGAGCCAGGUUGCAAUACAAAUAGUUGUUAUGGUUAAAAGAGCUUUUGGCAUUACAAUUACACAAAUUAGAGUAGUUUCUGCAUAUUUCCAAAAGUCAAGAUUGCACUGGGCCUUAUUUCCUUAUUUUAUACUGUAGAAAAUUUCUAUUUUAACCUAACCUUCUCACACUCCACCUCUCUGAUCUUCAAGAAUCAUGAGUCCUAUCUAAGUGCUUAUUCAAUAUGUAGUGAGGAGGACAUGUUUGAGUAUACUCUAUUACCUUGAACAUAAGCCUUCUGACUGGAUGUUAGAGUCUUUGGUAGUGAAUAAUGAAUAUUCUGAGUUUCUAAUUUUUUUUUCUGUAAAAUGUACUGUUUUUGUGUGACUCUGGAACAUUGCCACACUCCUUUAAAAAUGUAUCAUGUAUCGUUAUCUGAGUAUUGUUUAAUACAGUAAAUUUGAAAACUUUUUGAGUAAACUUCCCUCUAAAAAUCAGUACUAUUUUUUCUCUUAUUCUGUAUCCUUUAGGAGUCUGUAAUAAAAAAU
Lagenorhynchus albirostris (white-beaked dolphin) is the source of this 2149-nucleotide long non-coding RNA. RefSeq lists it as uncharacterized. The transcript is spliced from 3 exons. Lineage: Eukaryota; Metazoa; Chordata; Mammalia; Artiodactyla; Delphinidae. The record is from RefSeq and is a predicted model, not a curated record.